RNAcentral lists this ribosomal RNA (225 nucleotides) under Salmonella enterica subsp. enterica serovar Lubbock. RNAcentral's name for it is "partial 23S ribosomal RNA". It matches the Rfam family "Bacterial large subunit ribosomal RNA", at positions 1124 to 1348 of the family's 2925-position model. The record is from RNAcentral. Lineage: Bacteria; Pseudomonadati; Pseudomonadota; Gammaproteobacteria; Enterobacterales; Enterobacteriaceae.
UAAAGAAAGCGUAAUAGCUCACUGGUCGAGUCGGCCUGCGCGGAAGAUGUAACGGGGCUAAACCAUGCACCGAAGCUGCGGCAGCGACACUGUGUGUUGUUGGGUAGGGGAGCGUUCUGUAAGCCUGUGAAGGUGGCCUGUGAGGGUUGCUGGAGGUAUCAGAAGUGCGAAUGCUGACAUAAGUAACGAUAAAGCGGGUGAAAAGCCCGCUCGCCGUAAGACCAA